RNAcentral lists this transfer RNA (74 nucleotides) under Candidatus Veblenbacteria bacterium. RNAcentral describes it as "tRNA-Ala". It matches the Rfam family "tRNA". From Rfam's summary of the family: Transfer RNA (tRNA) molecules are approximately 80 nucleotides in length. The record is from RNAcentral. Lineage: Bacteria; Candidatus Vebleniibacteriota.
GGGCCGUUAGCAUAAUGGUAGUGCAUCCGGUUUGCAUCCGGAAGGCGCGAGUUCGAUUCUCGCACGGUCCACCA